UACAGAGGUCCCGAGCGUUGUUCGGAUUCACUGGGCGUAAAGGGUGCGUAGGUGGCAUGUUAAGUUUGAUGUGAAAGCUCAGGGCUUAACCCUGAAAUGGCAUUGAAUACUAGCGUGCUGGAGGUUUGGAGGGGGGACUGGAAUUCUCGGUGUAGCAGUGAAAUGCGUAGAUAUCGAGAGGAACACCAGUGGCGAAGGCGAGUCCCUGGACAACACCUGACACUGGGGCACGAAAGCCGGGGGAGCAAACAGG
RNAcentral lists this ribosomal RNA (253 nucleotides) under uncultured bacterium. RNAcentral's name for it is "partial 16S ribosomal RNA". It matches the Rfam family "Bacterial small subunit ribosomal RNA", at positions 524 to 776 of the family's 1533-position model. The record is from RNAcentral.